Cavia porcellus (domestic guinea pig) is the source of this 1824-nucleotide long non-coding RNA. The record is from Ensembl. NCBI's taxonomy places the organism in Eukaryota, Metazoa, Chordata, Mammalia, Rodentia, Caviidae.
GGGAACCUGUAUUUUCCGUAUAAUGACUAGUCCUGUGUUUUUGUUCCAAAAUGAUGUGUGAGGUGAUGCCCACCAUCAGUGAAGAAGGCCCUUCAGGAGGAAGUGAAAACCAUGGAUCUGGCUGCCCUUCACAACCAGAUGCAGAUUCCCAUUUUGAACAGCACAUGAUGUCCAUGCUAGAAGAAACAGACAUUGCUCAGAGCACACUGAUAGAGACUCAAGAAACAUUGGCGUUGACCCAGGGGAAAUUACUCGAGGUUGGUCAUGAGAGAGAUUCGUUGCAGAGACAACUCAAUACUGCGCUUCCACAGGAGUUUUCAACGCUUGCAAAAGAGCUCAACAUUUGCAGGGAACAGCUGCUUGAGAAGGAAAAAGAAAUUGCUGAACUCAAAGCAGAAAGGAACAACAUGAGGCUGUUCCUGGAACAUCUGGAGUUCCUUGUCUCCAGGCAUGAACGCUCUCUCGAAACGACUGUGAUGAAGCGGCAGGCGCGGUGUCCUGCAGGAGUGUCCACAGAGAUGGAAGUGCUAAAAGCACUGACAUUCUUAUUUGACCACCACAAGACCCUGGACGAAGAAGUGCGAGAGCAAUUACGUGUAGCACUGCAAAGGUGCAGCUUGCUGGAAGAGGAACUGGGCGCUACGCACAAGGAGCUAAUGACUCUUAAAAAACAGAAUAAUGAGAAAAAAUCACCAAGAGAUGGAGUGCUUGACCAUGAACAAGAAGAAACACCAAGCACUAGUGGAAAGUUGCUAGCUUGCAGAGAAGAAGAACGAGAUGACAAGACAACGAUAAAAUGUGAAACUUCCCCUCUCUCCUCUCCGAAGUCCCUUCAGCUAGACAGGCUGCACACAGGGGCGUUGCAAAUAGUCAGCCACGAGGACAUCAGGGACAUGCAAAAAUCAAAAAGUGCCCAGGAUGGUCCUGUGAGCAAUCCCAGUAGCAGUGACAGCAGGCAGGACUCGCCCCACAAAGCCCCAAAGAAGAAGGGCAUCAAGUCCUCCAUUGGUCGUUUGUUUGGCAAAAAGGAAAAGGGUCGGCCUGGACAAACUGGCAAAGAAUCACCAGGACAAGAAACCUCAUCUCAGGAUGCGUUCCGACUUAGCAAAUUGGGAGGAAAGGCUGAAAAAAAUCGAAACUUUCAAAAAAACUCAACAGGCUCCCAGGAAGGUCCUGUGAACAAUCCCAGUACCAGUGACAGCAGGCAGGACGCGCUCCACAAAGCCCCAAAGAAGAAGAGCAUCAAGUCCUCCACUGGUCGUUUGUUUGGCAAAAAGAAAAAGGGUCCGCCUGGACAAACUGGCAAAGAAUCACCAAGACAAGGUGGGCCGGUUUUAGGCAGCUGUGCUAACCGCUGGGAUUUGGAGAGCAUGAGCUUUUUCCUAUGUACCUGCCACAGGUGUCCAGUGCCCACAAGGAAUCAUGGCUGAGCAUUCUCCAGACAGCCCAGUCUGCCCACAUGUGAACCAGAGCAGAGCAGUGGACAUUCAUUUGGCGUGAAUGAAUAACCCUCUUAUAUGCUAAUUUAUACGCUUGAACAUUUAUAUGUGUUUGCUCGGAAGCUUACCCUUCAGAAAUGAUUCAGCUCUCUACCUGCAGAAUCUUCUUCCUAUUUGUGAAACAUAUAACUUUGCCAUGUUAAUUUACUCUAAAUUUGGUGAAUUUUCUUCUUUUUUGUAGCUGUUGUUUCUGAAACAGAAAACUCAUCUCAGGAUGCCUUCCAACUUAGCAAAUUGGGAGGAAAGGAUGAAAAAAAUCAUCAACUUCAAAAACAGUAAGCUUUUUGUUAUUUCUCCAUCUCAUGAAACAGUUUUCUGAGUUAAC